AGAGUUUGAUCCUGGCUCAGGACGAACGCUGGCGGUGUGCUUCACACAUGCAAGUCGAACGGAGUAGCAAUACUCAGUGGCGGACGGGUGAGUAACACGUGGGAAUCUACCAUUAGGUGGGGAAUAACAGGCCGAAAGGACUGCUAAUGCCGCAUAUGUAGGCAUCUCGACAGAGAUGUUUAUGAAAGGAGUAAUCCGCCUUUUGAUGAGCCCGCGUCCGAUUAGCUAGUUGGUAGGGUAAAAGCCUACCAAGGCGACGAUCGGUAGGUGGUCUGAGAGGAUGAUCACCCACAAUGGGACUGAGACACGGCCCAUACUCCUACGGGAGGCAGCAGUGGGGAAUUUUACGCAAUGGGGGAAACCCUGACGUAGCGACACCGCGUGAGCGAAGAAGCCCUUUGGGGUGUAAAGCUCUGUCAACAGGAACGAAACAAAUGACGGUACCUGUGGAGGAAGCAUCGGCUAACUACGUGCCAGCAGCCGCGGUAAGACGUAGGAUGCAAGCGUUGUCCGGAUUUAUUGGGCGUAAAGAGUUCGUAGGCGGUUUGUUAAGUCUGAUGUUAAAGACCGGGGCUCAACCUCGGGAAUGCAUUGGAUACUGGCAGACUGGAGUGCAGUAGAGGCUAGUGGAAUUCCCAGUGUAGCGGUGAAAUGCGUAGA
This 660-nucleotide ribosomal RNA is filed under the name uncultured bacterium. RNAcentral's name for it is "bacterial SSU rRNA". It matches the Rfam family "Bacterial small subunit ribosomal RNA", at positions 8 to 694 of the family's 1533-position model. The record is from RNAcentral.